AGAAUCAACGCUGGCGGCGUGCCUAACACAUGCAAGUCGAACGAGAAAGUGGAGCAAUCCAUGAGUAAAGUGGCGCACGGGUGAGUAACACGUGACUAACCUACCCUUGAGUGGGGGAUAACCUAGAGAAAUCUGGGCUAAUACCGCAUAAUACCUUCGGGUCAAAGGAGCAAUUCGCUUAAGGAGGGGGUCGCGGCCGAUUAGUUAGUUGGCGGGGUAAUGGCCCACCAAGACUAUGAUCGGUAUCCGGCCUGAGAGGGCGCACGGACACACUGGAACUGAAACACGGUCCAGACUCCUACGGGAGGCAGCAGUGGGGAAUUUGCGCAAGUGGGGGAAACCCUGACGCAGCAACGCCGCGUGGAGGAUGAAGUCCCUUGGGACGUAAACUCCUUUCGAUCGGGACGAUAAUGACGGUACGAGAGAAGACGCCCGGCUAACUUCGUGCCAGCAGCCGC
This 458-nucleotide ribosomal RNA is filed under the name uncultured bacterium. RNAcentral's name for it is "SSU rRNA". It matches the Rfam family "Bacterial small subunit ribosomal RNA", at positions 26 to 518 of the family's 1533-position model. The record is from RNAcentral.